GCUUGCAGUUAAAGCCCUGAGCUGAGCUCAGUUCCCUCAGUCUCCUCAGAUCUGAUCAGUUUCUCACUGCCCUCUGUUUCCCAUUUGAAAAAUAUGGCUGGAAAUGAUUCUUUCCUUUUGGUUCUUAAGAUAUAGGAGCUUAAAAUAAAAAACUUUGUCUCUAUACAGAGUAACCAGAUCAACAGGCUUUCCCCAUCUUCGUUAAGCUGUUGAGAUGUUACUGUACCAGAAAUCUAUUUCUCUGAUAUAUGGCUCCUGUGACCAGCGUUGUUUAUAAAGAUGCCCGUCACUCUCCAUUACAUGCUUCCCCCAUUGUUAUUGCAGGAAUUCCAUCAGAAGGGCAAAAAAUAACUCGCUGACUGUGAGAACAAAGGCCCUGAUUCAUGACAAUUCAUUUUGAGAUGGCAAAAGCAAUUUAUUAUACCCAUGUAGCAGUUACGGUCAAGUUACUGAUUCCAGGAUUUUAUUGCUAUUAUUUGGAAGAUGAGCCAUUUACACUUUUAUGGUCUGAGGCCUGAAGAUACUUUAGGAACGCUAAUUAGAGCUUUUUGCACUCCUUGAAGGGAGGAAGAUUUUUUUGUGCAGGAUUAGCUCACGCUCGCUAGAAGGAGGGUAGGGGAUUAAGUUGCUUGCCUGGGUAACAGUGACAAGUCUGCUGUAACAGCUAAGGAAUUUGGGGACUCCCUGUUGGCUCUGUUGCCUGCUUCACCCCCCUUAACUUGUUGAAGGAGCCCCAGUUAUCAUCACAGCUCUAGGCUCCCUUGGAAGAGCAGAGGAAAUGGAGAGCUGAGAGGGGUGGCUGGGGAAAGCAGCUUCUGCUGGGUGGGCAUGGGAGACUGAGCGAGACAUGGCAGAGUGUGAAGGGAAGGAGCAGCCCCAGGAUUCAGGCACUGAGAUGCAUUCCUGAUGCUGCUGUAGUGGUCCUGUGUGAGGUCAGAGGCAUUCACCCACCUCUCAGCUGGAAACCCUAAAGGCAGUGUGUUCUACUGGAUGUUUAUCUGAGCUCUAUCUGUGUGUGCUUCAAACUGGGUCCGUGAAAAAUGCUGUAAAAUUCAAAGUUCUUUGUAAUAUCCUGCCAUGGAAUGCUGUUGACCUGCGGUGAUGCUGUCCUCUCCAUUUUCUUCUCAAGAGGUGAAUAAGUCUAUUUGCCCCCACCACAGGGGAGACAGGAACACAAAAAGCUCAUGUGGCAUUAGGGAAUUGGGUCAGAGAAAAGGAAGAAUAUGAUAGUCUGAAAGAUGAGCAUACGCUUAUGUGUAUUUGGGAAAAUAAUGGAGAUAAAAACAUAAACGAGUAUAAAAAAACAUGCAGACGUUUUGGAUUGCAAAGGACAGUUCUCUUGUCCUAUGGGUAAGGACAGCACAAGUUCUGGGGCACUGAGCUGGCAGUCCCACUGGGCUGCUGUAAACAGGGACAGAUGCACUCAGGUGUUGCCACCUCUUGUUGGCAGAUUGAAGCACUGAGUGCCAGCGGUGGCACACAGGGUUGGCAGAUCACGUUUUCACAAAGCCCCUGUGAAAGCAAACACACAUUAGUGUGUUAAACACAUUAGUCAUCAGGCGUUUAAUUACCUCUUUUCACCUAGGACUCAGAUGACCUCUAAUAAACAAUAUCUGUGUUCAGAAGAAUGGGCACGAAUUGAAACAAGCACUGAGAAGGUCUGAUGGCAAGUGACUUCUUCCCUAAGGUCAUGCAGGAAGUCUGCAGCAGAAACCUGCUCUGCCAUAAACCCAAAGCCAUUCCUUCCUGCUAGGAACGCACUUCAGCCCGAGUGAUUGUGCUUGUGUACCAGGCUGCAUUCACAAGGACAGGUGAAAAGGAGGAAAUCCUUUUGGAGUCCUGGGGACUCCAUUGCCUGCCCUUGAGAUGAUGGGAGGACUCCUUGUCUUCGGUGAACUUGGUGUGGGGCCACGGUGAGGCUGUCCUGCAGAGCUUGUGGGGAAACUGCAGGCCAGAAGAAGGGUGGCUGGAAAAUUUACUGAGAUAGUGGGAAAGAAGGAGAGAGGAGAAGUUGCACUGUUGGGGUGGAAAUCAGCGCUCCCUGUUCUGACUGCUGUCCCAUGGUCAUUGCAGCCACACACUUCUGACCCAAGCUGUUGACUGGGGGUCUGUCCUGCUUCACCAAACAGUGAACCACGUAGAAACUCUGACCCAGAACUUCUGUGGGGGACACCUGCACUGUGGAAAGAAAGAAGAGAGUCCAAAAGAAUGCUCCAGACAGAAUGGUUGUUGCCUGGUACUUCUGAAGGAAUUAACAUCCGAUUGAACUCCAUGUAUGCAGAGAGGACAAGGCACCCUUCAAAUCUUGGUGUUGCAUCUCAAUCCUGUGACCAUUAUAGAAUCACUAAGGUUGGAAAAGACCACUGAAAUCAUCAAGUCCAGCCAUCAACCCCUCACCACCAUCAUCCUGCAAACUGCAGCUGCUUGUUUCUGGAGGAGUGAAGGAAAGAAGAGAGGUACUCAUGAUUCUACCUAUGUCAUAUUGAGCAAAUAAAUCCUUGACGCUGGAGGACCUUUGCUAGGGGUCUGUAGAUAGAUAUUGCCAUGUUAUAUAUUGGUAGAUUUUCUUCUGCUUGUUGUUUUCUUUUGUUUGUGUGUGUGUAAUUAGAAAAGUGUGACUUACAAUGGGAGAUUUAAUGGGGAAUUCUACAUGCAAUUAAGCAGUUGUUAAUAACACCAAUACAUAGGUGAGAAUUUCAAGGCUUAAAAUGGGAGCAGGAGGGUUUAGUUAUGAUGCUGUUUCCAUAUGUAUGGAGUGUGAAUAUAUUUUAUUCAAGUCACAGUGGAUUAAAAAGAUCUGCUGAAUUUUCUUAUAGCGUGCUCACUGGGUAUAUACAAGCUAACCUCCUGUACAUUUUUUUGUCUCAUAGGAUGUUCAAACACUUUCUUUAAGGAGCCUCUUCCACUGAUUACUGGAGACAUAUCCCAUGAUUUUUAUGAUUGACUUUACUUUCUUGAUUUGUACUUACGUUAAUGCUUCAGUAUGAUGGCAAUGAUAAAAUUUAGGUGUAUGUCUCCAUGUUUCCCAAAGGUACAGGGACACACUGACAUGGCCUGGAGUAAUGGAAAGUCCACGUCUCUCAGAAUUGCAUCAAAAUAGCUGCGAAGACGUGCAUUUCAUUAUUUACAAAACAUUUUUUUCAUAUCAUUUUGAUGUAAAACAAAUUUUGUAUUUUCAUUUCUUCUGUGGUUGCAGCACAUUGCAGUGUCAUGGAACGCAUCUGCUCCAGAGCUGUCAGAGUUGGGGCAGUUCUAACACAGGGGGGCUGAAAUCUCAUGCAUGUGAUAAAUUGAUGCAAAAAGCAAACAAGUCAUAUAAGCCAAGGCACUGAUAACCAGGAGCACUGGGCCAGGACUAAGUAUAUGGAAAUAUUGCAAUGAUACCUGCUUCUAAAUCUUAGGUGUUUUUUUUUUUUUCUUAUCCUUAAGAGACCAUGGGGAAGUUGUAGCUAUAGCACUGUGUCUGCAGGUUAGCAGAAUCCUGGCUCUCUGUGAAGCCAUCAGAGCAAGCCAUAAAGGAACAUCAAUGAAAAUCAGAGUCAGAAUGGUUUCCACUGUUACUCCAAGUGACCAGGAAGGCUCGGCCAACCGGUGGUUUAGGAUUAACACGUGCAUCAACUCACAUGGACAAUUCCAGUCAAGCCAGGAACUGUCUUUUCUAUGGUCACAAGGAAACAAUGCAAGUCACCUGGCAUUUUUUUCCCAAAUUGCAGAGUUUCCUUUCUUCUGGAAAACUUCACAUUUGCAAAGCAGCACGUUUACAGUGGAUUCCCACAUCAGAAGCAGUGACAUCAGUGAUUCCUCUUGCAGCUUCCCAUCAGCACCCCAGGGACAGGGCUGGGCUUCCUCUGGUCGCAUGCACUGAGCUCUGGGGACAGCAGGUGCUGUAAUACACUGCAGUGCUGCUGCUCUUGCCGGGCAUUAAAGGCAGCAAACGUUGUAGGUGUUCCACAAUGCUCAGCCAAUGCCAGCACCUGAUCGCUCUUUACUUCUCAGUGAUAAUUAACAUCUUGUUGGCCAGUGGCAGCAGAAAGCAGUGACUGCAUACUCUUUCUAUUCCUGCACGCUCAGUGCUGAUGAGCCUAAUACAGGUGAUUUGGGGGUAUGGAUUAUCUGAGGUUUUAUUCCUAAGGGGGUGAGCUGUUGGCAGUAGCCUUUUGGGUGAGUCAAGCUAAAUAUGAUUUCUGCUGGUUUUUAAGCUUGCUCAGAUGUUCCUCUCAGGAUAUGCAGUGACACACUUUGCAUGGUUCCUGGAAAUUGAAGCUGCUUUCACAAUGCUUUUAGGCUUGUUUAGGGUUCAACAGACAACAUAUUGAAGCUGUUUGAUUUAAUGCACAGUGAUUUCACAAGCUGUUAACUGGUUAAGGAAAAUUUCCCAUUUAGCUUCUUGCUGGUCUUUUAGGUGUUGCUCAAUCAGUUUACCUGUUAGAUUUUGAGGUGGCCAGUAGUCAGUUCUCUGAUCAUUCAGGUGUGGCUUGGCUAUAUAUUAAGAUGAUUAUUAAGAUGAUAUGGAUGAGAAUAUGCUACUGACAAACUGUAGGAAAUAGCUUGUGUUCCCCUGCAAGGACUAGAACUCUCACGAAUCUAUGACUGUUUUAUGACUUUCCCAAGGAGACACCUCUCACCACGGAGACAUUAAAGGUUUGUUGCAAAGAUGGUUGGAACUGAUCCCAUUGAGGUUGUCUGGGUGGAAAGUAUGUGUGUGAGUUUAUGCAUCCUCACACACCCUUUGUUUCUCUUCCAUGCAGCCAGGAAGCAGAUUCAUCUCCCACCAUGUAUAUUCAUCAGGUGUUUUAUGACCCCAGGUCCUACUCAAGGAAACAUCCAACUUAGCUUGAUGGAAGAUUUACCCAAGUAGUGGUGUCAUUAAUAGCACCCAUGAUAAAAGUGGAGCAUCACCCACUGUGAUUGUAUGGAGCAUUGCAUGAUAGCUGGGAUGUCCGUAAAAUGGACACAAAAUUAACUACAGCUGCACAAAUAGGUGAUUAAACUAGUUUUCUCAUGCUGUAACUGAGUUAGCCCUCUUUAAUACUCAUUUAAGAAUUCUUUCUCUUUUAUAGGACUGUAAUAUGCAUGAGCCCAUUCCUUUCCACCCUUCCUAUUGCUCUACAGCAAUGUCCUGUUUAAUACCCUACUUUUAUUUCUUAUUACUUCUUGCAGUCGAUCUCCUCUCUUCAUCCUGUGUCCUGGGAAGCUUAGCCAAGCACAGGGGAACGUCUUGAGGGGAAGUAGUGGAAAAGGAGCAGAACCACACCAAAGUUGUUACACUGGUCCCAUAGGACAACACACAGCCACAUCUCAGACAUAUGCAGCAGCCUGUGUGGGGCAGGAGGGACCAGGGAACAGACCUCAGUGAUGGCUGCCUCUCCCACAAGCAGGAUGGGGAGCUCUUGCUUCUACACCAGUACAUGGAAAAUUUUGUUUGUUUAAUUCUCCAGUGAGGCUGU
Non-coding RNA from Phasianus colchicus (ring-necked pheasant), 5447 nucleotides. Lineage: Eukaryota; Metazoa; Chordata; Aves; Galliformes; Phasianidae. The record is from RefSeq and is a predicted model, not a curated record.